AAAAACUCCGGUGGUAUACGAUGGAUCCGCGUCUGAUUAGCUUGUUGGCGGGGUAAAGGCCCACCAAGGCGACGAUCAGUAGCCGGCCUGAGAGGGUGAACGGCCACAUUGGGACUGAGACACGGCCCAAACUCCUACGGGAGGCAGCAGUGGGGAAUAUUGCACAAUGGGGGAAACCCUGAUGCAGCGACGCCGCGUGAGUGAAGAAGUAUUUCGGUACGUAAAGCUCUAUCAGCAGGGAAGAAAAUGACGGUACCUGACUAAGAAGCCCCGGCUAACUACGUGCCAGCAGCCGCGGUAAUACGUAGGGGGCAAGCGUUAUCCGGAUUUACUGGGUGUAAAGGGAGCGUAGACGGCAGCGCAAGUCUGGAGUGAAAUCCCAUGGCUUAACCAUGGAACUGCUUUGGAAACUGUGCAGCUGGAGUGCAGGAGAGGUAAGCGGAAUUCCUAGUGUAGCGGUGAAAUGCGUAGAUAUUAGGAGGAACACCAGUGGCGAAGGCGGCUUACUGGACUGUAACUGACGUUGAGGCUCGAAAGCGUGGGGAGCAAACAGGAUUAGAUACCCUGGUAGUCCACGCUGUAAACGAUGAUUACUAGGUGUUGGGGGACCAAGGUCCUUCG
This 621-nucleotide ribosomal RNA is filed under the name uncultured bacterium. RNAcentral describes it as "bacterial SSU rRNA". It matches the Rfam family "Bacterial small subunit ribosomal RNA", at positions 202 to 842 of the family's 1533-position model. The record is from RNAcentral.